RNAcentral lists this ribosomal RNA (859 nucleotides) under Curvularia heteropogonis. RNAcentral describes it as "eukaryotic LSU rRNA". It matches the Rfam family "Eukaryotic large subunit ribosomal RNA", at positions 64 to 941 of the family's 3401-position model. The record is from RNAcentral. Lineage: Eukaryota; Fungi; Ascomycota; Dothideomycetes; Pleosporales; Pleosporaceae.
ACCAACAGGGAUUGCCCUAGUAACGGCGAGUGAAGCGGCAACAGCUCAAAUUUGAAAUCUGGCUCUUUUAGAGUCCGAGUUGUAAUUUGCAGAGGGCGCUUUGGCUUUGGCAGCGGUCCAAGUUCCUUGGAACAGGACGUCACAGAGGGUGAGAAUCCCGUACGUGGUCGCUAGCUAUUGCCGUGUAAAGCCCCUUCGACGAGUCGAGUUGUUUGGGAAUGCAGCUCUAAAUGGGAGGUAAAUUUCUUCUAAAGCUAAAUAUUGGCCAGAGACCGAUAGCGCACAAGUAGAGUGAUCGAAAGAUGAAAAGCACUUUGGAAAGAGAGUCAAACAGCACGUGAAAUUGUUGAAAGGGAAGCGCUUGCAGCCAGACUUGCUUGCAGUUGCUCAUCCGGGCUUUUGCCCGGUGCACUCUUCUGCAGGCAGGCCAGCAUCAGUUUGGGCGGUGGGAUAAAGGUCUCUGACACGUUCCUUCCUUCGGGUUGGCCAUAUAGGGGAGACGUCAUACCACCAGCCUGGACUGAGGUCCGCGCAUCUGCUAGGAUGCUGGCGUAAUGGCUGUAAGCGGCCCGUCUUGAAACACGGACCAAGGAGUCUAACAUCUAUGCGAGUGUUUGGGUGUCAAGCCCGAGCGCGUAAUGAAAGUGAACGGAGGUGGGAACCCGCAAGGGCGCACCAUCGACCGAUCCUGAAGUUUACGGAAGGAUUUGAGUAAGAGCAUGGCUGUUGGGACCCGAAAGAUGGUGAACUAUGCUUGAAUAGGGUGAAGCCAGAGGAAACUCUGGUGGAGGCUCGCAGCGGUUCUGACGUGCAAAUCGAUCGUCAAAUUUGGGCAUAGGGGCGAAAGACUAAUCGAACU